GUGUCCCAUCAAAAGUCUCCAGAACACAGGGAAGCCCAGGCUCCCCAUCCAUCCUCACUGACUGCUGAACUUUAAGCCAAUCAAAAGCCUCCAGAGGACAGGAAAGCUCAAACCCCCAACAACCCUCCCUCAGAGAUUACACCAAGAGAUCCUCUGUUAAAGCUCCAAGAGGGGAGACUGAUAGAAGUCCCUAAAAAACAAAAAAAAAAAUGAGAGGAACAAGAGCACAGACAAAUACAGGGAGGAAAGAAGGGGUGAAUUUGAACAAACAACAGAAACAGAAGAAAGAAACUACAAUAGACAGCUACUACUCAGCAAAUGGAACAGAGGGGGAAGAGAUCAGCAAAUGAUAAACCAGAAAUCCCAGCGAAUUGGAUACAGGCUGUGGAAGAACUCAAAACACAACUAAGAGAGGCUGAAGACAAUUGGGAAAAGAACUUAAAAAUUAAGAUAAGUCAUCUGGAAACAGAGGCACUUGAACUAAAACAAGAAAAUAGUGUCCUGAAAGCCAAAAUCAUCCAGCUGGAAAAUGAGGCAAAGGAGAUGAAAGAUGAAGCAAAGGAGAUGAAAGACGAGAUAAAGAGGAUGAAAGACAAUCUUCAAAGAAACUCAGACCAGAAGGAAAAAGACGACCAAAAAGCCAAAGAUGAAAUCCAAUCUUUAAGAACCCGAGUAAAACAACUAGAAUCAAGUGACCUCACAAGGCAGCAGGACACUAUAAGACAAAACAAAAAGAAUGAAAAAAUUGAGGAAAAUGUGAAGCAUUUCAUUCACAAAACAGACGAUUUAGAAAAUCGUUCAAGAAGAGACAAUUUAAGAAUAAUUGGACUACCAGAAGACCACGACAAAAGAAAAAGCCUGGACAUAAUACUAGAGGAAAUUAUCCAGGAAAACUGUCCCGAAAUCCUAGAACAAGAGGGGAAAGUGGAGAUUGAAAGAAUCCACAGAUCACCCCCUGUUUUUAAUCCCCAACUGACAACACCAAGAAAUGUUAUAGCCAAAUUCAAAAACAAUCAGAUAAAAGAACAGGUAUUACAAGCUGCCAAAAAGAAACCAUUCAGAUACCAUGGAAACAUGGUGAGGAUAACACAGGAUCUUUC
This 1100-nucleotide long non-coding RNA is filed under the name Monodelphis domestica (gray short-tailed opossum). RNAcentral describes it as "lncRNA (ENSMODG00000049096.1)". The record is from RNAcentral. Lineage: Eukaryota; Metazoa; Chordata; Mammalia; Didelphimorphia; Didelphidae.